UAAUACGUAGGGUGCGAGCGUUAAUCGGAAUUACUGGGCGUAAAGUGUGCGCAGGCGGCGUUGCAAGUCGAGUGUGAAAGCCCCGGGCUUAACUUGGGAAUUGCGCUCGAAACUACGAUGCUGGAGUAUGGCAGAGGAAGGUGGAAUUCCACGUGUAGCGGUGAAAUGCGUAGAGAUGUGGAGGAACACCGAUGGCGAAGGCAGCCUUCUGGGCCAAUACUGACGCUCAUGCACGAAAGCGUGGGGAGCAAACAGGAUUAGAUACCCUGGUAGUCCACGCCCUAAACGAUGAUGACUAGUUGUUGGAGGAGUUAAAUCCUUUAGUAACGCAGCUAACGCGUGAAGUCAUCCGCCUGGGGAGUACGGUCGCAAGAUUA
Molecule: ribosomal RNA, 377 nt
Filed under: uncultured bacterium
Lineage: Bacteria
Description: bacterial SSU rRNA
Rfam family: Bacterial small subunit ribosomal RNA
Source: RNAcentral